GAUGAACGCUGGCGGCGUGCCUAAUACAUGCAAGUCGAGCGAACAGACGAGGAGCUUGCUCCUCUGACGUUAGCGGCGGACGGGUGAGUAACACGUGGAUAACCUACCUAUAAGACUGGGAUAACUUCGGGAAACCGGAGCUAAUACCGGAUAAUAUAUUGAACCGCAUGGUUCAAUAGUGAAAGACGGCUUUGCUGUCACUUAUAGAUGGAUCCGCGCCGCAUUAGCUAGUUGGUAAGGUAACGGCUUACCAAGGCAACGAUGCGUAGCCGACCUGAGAGGGUGAUCGGCCACCCUGGGACUGAGACACGGUCCAGACUCCUACGGGGGGCAGCAGUAGGGAAUCUUCCGCAAUGGGCGAAAGCCUGACGGAGCAACGCCGCGUGAGUGAUGAAGGUCUUCGGAUCGUAAAACUCUGUUAUUAGGGAAGAACAAAUGUGUAAGUAACUAUGCACGUCUUGACGGUACCUAAUCAGAAAGCCACGGCUAACUACGUGC
Molecule: ribosomal RNA, 498 nt
Filed under: uncultured bacterium
Lineage: Bacteria
Description: partial 16S ribosomal RNA
Rfam family: Bacterial small subunit ribosomal RNA
Source: RNAcentral